UACAAAGGGUGCAAGCGUUACUCGGAAUUACUGGGCGUAAAGCGUGCGUAGGUGGUUGUUUAAGUCUGUUGUGAAAGCCCUGGGCUCAACCUGGGAACUGCAGUGGAAACUGGACAACUAGAGUGUGGUAGAGGGUAGCGGAAUUCCCGGUGUAGCAGUGAAAUGCGUAGAGAUCGGGAGGAACAUCCAUGGCGAAGGCAGCUACCUGGACCAACACUGACACUGAGGCACGAAAGCGUGGGGAGCAAACAGG
Molecule: ribosomal RNA, 253 nt
Filed under: uncultured bacterium
Lineage: Bacteria
Description: partial 16S ribosomal RNA
Rfam family: Bacterial small subunit ribosomal RNA
Source: RNAcentral